RNAcentral lists this ribosomal RNA (497 nucleotides) under uncultured bacterium. RNAcentral describes it as "partial 16S ribosomal RNA". It matches the Rfam family "Bacterial small subunit ribosomal RNA", at positions 28 to 507 of the family's 1533-position model. The record is from RNAcentral.
GAUGAACGCUGGCGGCGUGCCUAAUACAUGCAAGUCGAGCGAACAGAUGAGGAGCUUGCUCCUCUGACGUUAGCGGCGGACGGGUGAGUAACACGUGGAUAACCUACCUAUAAGACUGGGAUAACUUCGGGAAACCGGAGCUAAUACCGGAUAAUAUAUUGAACCGCAUGGUUCAAUAGUGAAAGACGGUUUUGCUGUCACUUAUAGAUGGAUCCGCGCCGCAUUAGCUAGUUGGUAAGGUAACGGCUUACCAAGGCAACGAUGCGUAGCCGACCUGAGAGGGUGAUCAGCCACACUGGAACUGAGACACGGUCCAGACUCCUACGGGAGGCAGCAGUAGGGAAUCUUCCGCAAUGGGCGAAAGCCUGACGGAGCAACGCCGCGUGAGUGAUGAAGGUCUUCGGAUCGUAAAGCUCUGUUAUUAGGGAAGAACAAAUGUGUAAGUAACUAUGCACGUCUUGACGGUACCUAAUCAGAAAGCCACGGCUAACUACGUG